AUCGCAGGUGUGGUUGCGGAUACGGCUUGCCCGGAGCCGCUGCCACCUAAGAGGGAAUGGAGUCGAAAGCUCCAGCUGCCCCCGCAACUGUAACCGGGUAGCGGACCGCCCGAAUUGCCACUGUGCCCAGCUUGUCGCGGCACGGGAAGGUGGGCGGAACCGUGCUGAUCCGGGAGCCAGGAGACCUGCCCGCGAUGCGUCGUUCGA
RNAcentral lists this non-coding RNA (207 nucleotides) under Citromicrobium sp. The record is from RNAcentral. Lineage: Bacteria; Pseudomonadati; Pseudomonadota; Alphaproteobacteria; Sphingomonadales; Sphingomonadaceae.